UACAGAGGUCCCAAGCGUUGUUCGGAUUCACUGGGCGUAAAGGGUGCGUAGGUGGUGAGGUAAGUCGGAUGUGAAAUCUCCAAGCUCAACUUGGAAACUACAUUGAAAACUACCUUGCUAGAGGAUUUGAGGGGGGAUUGGAAUACUUGGUGUAGCAGUGAAAUGCGUAGAUAUCAAGUGGAACACCAGUGGCGAAGGCGGGUCUCUGGGCAGUAACUGACGCUGAGGAGCGAAAGCGUGGGGAGCGAACAGG
RNAcentral lists this ribosomal RNA (253 nucleotides) under uncultured bacterium. RNAcentral describes it as "partial 16S ribosomal RNA". It matches the Rfam family "Bacterial small subunit ribosomal RNA", at positions 524 to 776 of the family's 1533-position model. The record is from RNAcentral.